GUCAUUUCCUUCAUAAACAAGUCCUACUUCCUCUCGAGGGUCCAUAUCAGCUGAGCUUAUCCUGUGAGUGCCCCAGUGGGAAUUGAGUUCAUUUCAGAGUGUCCUUCCCUCCCACACGGAGUGUGGGAGUGGUGAGGUCUGGGAGAUCACGACCUUAAUUCUCUCCAAGACAGACGGUUUAAUUAACACUGGAGGAAUCCUCACUGGCUCCAGACCUCUACAAUGGGAAUGUGCACGGGAAUUGGAUUGCCAAGUGCAGACAGGUUAGACAUCAACUUUCAGCCAUGAGGUGACUGA
Molecule: long non-coding RNA, 297 nt
Filed under: Cottoperca gobio
Lineage: Eukaryota; Metazoa; Chordata; Actinopteri; Perciformes; Bovichtidae
Description: lncRNA (ENSCGOG00000018190.1)
Source: RNAcentral